UUUAUUUACGGAUAAAUUGUUAUGUUAUGGAUCGACUCUUCGUCAUAUAAUAUGUUUCGAUUUACUAAAUGGAUAUGAACAACAUAAUUUCAUUUCAUCCAUAUUACUAUCACAAUGAAUAUUCUCCCCUAGUUUCACAGAGAUGAAGUCAAAACAUCAAACAUCAUUCUCAAUUACUUAUUUUAAAACCUUUGGGGGUAUUCUCUAACUAUAGUCUAUGUACUAUUUAUUGUGAUAGGGAUUAUCAUGUCUUAUUCGA
RNAcentral lists this long non-coding RNA (259 nucleotides) under Solanum tuberosum (potato). RNAcentral's name for it is "long non-coding RNA (STUB_LNC008742)". Lineage: Eukaryota; Viridiplantae; Streptophyta; Magnoliopsida; Solanales; Solanaceae. The record is from RNAcentral.